GACGAACGCUGGCGGCGUGCUUAACACAUGCAAGUCGAACGGAAAGGCCCUGCUUUUGUGGGGUGCUCGAGUGGCGAACGGGUGAGUAACACGUGAGUAACCUGCCCUUGACUUUGGGAUAACUUCAGGAAACUGGGGCUAAUACCGGAUAGGAGCUCCUGCUGCAUGGUGGGGGUUGGAAAGGUUCGGCGGUUGGGGAUGGACUCGCGGCUUAUCAGCUUGUUGGUGGGGUGGUGGCUUACCAAGGCUUUGACGGGUAGCCGGCCUGAGAGGGUGACCGGCCACAUUGGGACUGAGAUACGGCCCAGACUCCUACGGGAGGCAGCAGUGGGGAAUAUUGCACAAUGGGCGGAAGCCUGAUGCAGCAACGCCGCGUGCGGGAUGACGGCCUUCGGGUUGUAAACCGCUUUCGCCUGUGACGAAGCGUGAGUGACGGUAAUGGGUAAAGAAGCACCGGCUAACUACGUG
This 468-nucleotide ribosomal RNA is filed under the name uncultured bacterium. RNAcentral describes it as "partial 16S ribosomal RNA". It matches the Rfam family "Bacterial small subunit ribosomal RNA", at positions 28 to 507 of the family's 1533-position model. The record is from RNAcentral.